CAGAGGAGCGUCACAUGUUGUGAACUAUGAGACGAUCGUUUAUCAGUUUAAAAUGUUAAAUAAAAAUAAAAAAACUGGUGCUUUAAUAACCAAUUUCCUCUGUUCUCAGGCUGCCUCCUCAUAGAAGACAACUUCUCCAUGAGAUGUCCAGAGCACAAACUCAAAUCGUUCACGCCCAGGAGAGUCAGAAGGUGACGUUAAAGACGUGUGGAGGCUCCAGAGGUCGUACCAUUAGUCACUGUUACAGAAGAAAACAGACUGAUGAAGGGUUCUGUCCCAGGUUGGGUUCAGAUCUAAUGCACAUGUGCGUGCCAGGGAUUGUGUUCUCCCACUUCCUGGUUGGUUCCUCACACACAGAAAAGGUUCCUCAUCCUAAACAGGAAGUCUCUCUCUUUCUGCCAACCACAGUUCUUGCUUUUUCACACUUUUGUACGACUUUUUCUGACGCUGUUAUGUAAAUCGUUCCCACUUUGGGUUCACUUUACGUCUGGUGUUACGUCCCGUCUGUGUUUCUCUGAUGAGAUGAGCUAAAGUUAGCGCUACGGCUACGCUCAGCACUUUGUUUGAAGUGUAGAUUUUGUAUAAAGUGAAUAUAAUUUAUGGCUGAGCUGUGUUUGUGUCUGCUGCUGCUGUGCUUCCUGUUGAGCUUCAAAGGGAAGUGGGAUUAUUAAAGAUUUGUUUUAAACAAAAUCACGAAUCAGACGCUUUUUAUUUUACCUGAACUAAUAAUGAAUAGGA
RNAcentral lists this long non-coding RNA (738 nucleotides) under Gouania willdenowi (blunt-snouted clingfish). RNAcentral describes it as "lncRNA (ENSGWIG00000023976.1)". The record is from RNAcentral. Lineage: Eukaryota; Metazoa; Chordata; Actinopteri; Blenniiformes; Gobiesocidae.